GAUGAACGCUGGCGGCGUGCCUAAUACAUGCAAGUCGAGCGAACAGACGAGGAGCUUGCUCCUUUGACGUUAGCGGCGGACGGGUGAGUAACACGUGGAUAACCUACCUAUAUGACUGGGAUAAUUUCGGGAAACCGGAGCUAAUACCGGAUAAUAUAUUGAACCGCAUGGUUCAAUAGUGAAAGUCGGUUUUGGCGGCGCUUGUGGGUGGAUUCGCGCAGCAUUAGCUUGUUGGUGGGGUAGCGGCGUACCAAGGCAACGAGGCGUAGCCGACACGAGAGGGUGAGCGGCCGCAUUGGGCCUGAGGGGCGGCCCAGAGUGCGAAGGGAGCCAGAAGUGGGGAAUAUUGCACAAUGGACGGAAGCCUGAUGAAGAAAGGCCUCGGGUGGGAAAACGGCUUUUGGGUGGGAAAACGAAUUGGAAAGUGACGAAGCGUGAGUGACGGUAAUCGGAAAAGAAGCACCGGCUAAAUCCGUG
Molecule: ribosomal RNA, 477 nt
Filed under: uncultured bacterium
Lineage: Bacteria
Description: partial 16S ribosomal RNA
Rfam family: Bacterial small subunit ribosomal RNA
Source: RNAcentral